Non-coding RNA from Momordica charantia (bitter melon), 2083 nucleotides. Lineage: Eukaryota; Viridiplantae; Streptophyta; Magnoliopsida; Cucurbitales; Cucurbitaceae. The record is from RefSeq and is a predicted model, not a curated record.
CAGCUGAAAUUUGGGCCUUGUGAUUGGACUCGGGCGCUCAGAGAUAGUGGGCCUAUUUCCAAAUGGGCCCAACUGAAACGACGACGUCUAAAGGAAUACGAUCAAUCAUAGGAGGCAGUCAAACGACGUCGCUCUGCGACAUUUCUGAAAGUAGUAGUUUAUCCAUCUGGUUUCCAAAACAUCUCGUUAUCGGAGCUCCAAAAAAAUGGCCGCGGCCUCGCUCUCGCUCUCUCAACUCUCCUUUCUCUCAAAUUCUACGUCUCGAAGCUUAAUCGCUCCUUCUCUCCAGUCCUCUCCUCACGGACAAAUCCGCUGCCGUUCUCGUUUCCGAUGCUCCGCCGGUCAGACGGGAUUCUUCACUCGGCUUGGCAGGCUGCUCAAGGAGAAGGCCAAAAGUGACGUUGAGAAGAUCUUCUCUGGCUUCUCAAAGACUCGAGAUAACCUUGCUGUCAUUGAUGAGCUUCUUCUGUACUGGAACCUCGCGGAGACCGAUAGAGUUCUCGACGAACUCGAAGAGGCAUUAUUGGUGUCUGAUUUCGGGCCAAGGAUCACCAUUAAGAUUGUGGAGAACUUGCGUGACGAUAUAUUGGCGGGGAAGCUUAAAUCGGGUAGUGAAAUAAAGGACGCGUUAAAGAAGAAUGUUUUGGAGUUGUUGACAGGGAAGGGGAGCAAAACUGACCUUCAACUUGGAUUCCGGAAACCGGCUGUGAUUAUGAUAGUUGGUGUUAACGGAGGUGGAAAGACAACAUCUCUUGGAAAGCUGGCUUUUAGAUUGAAAAACGAAGGGGCCAAGAUAUUGAUGGCAGCUGGUGAUACAUUUAGAGCAGCUGCUAGCGAUCAGCUGGAAAUCUGGGCAGAUAGAACUGGAUGUGAGAUUGUUGUUGCUGAAAGAGACAAUGCCAAAGCAUCUUCAGUUCUAUCACAGGCUGUAAAGAGAGGAAAAGAAGGUGGUUUUGACAUUGUUUUAUGUGAUACAUCUGGACGUCUGCAUACAAAUUAUAGUUUGAUGGAAGAAUUAAUAUCAUGUAAGAAAGCUGUGGGCAAAGUUAUUCCAGGGGCACCUAAUGAGAUCCUGCAAGUAUUGGAUGGGACUACUGGUUUGAAUAUGCUACCACAAGCAAGGGAGUUCAAUGAUGUAGUUGGAAUUACCGGUUUAAUUUUGACAAAACUUGAUGGUUCUGCAAGAGGUGGCUGUGUGGUCAGCGUCGUCGAUGAGCUUGGAAUCCCUGUAAAGUUUGUUGGCGUUGGUGAGGGGUUGGAAGAUCUUCAGCCUUUUGAUCCAGAGGCCUUCGUUGAUGCCAUAUUUUUAUGAUCUGUGUACAAUAUGAUUUCUCCUUUGAAAAUCCACCCACUUUUGCACCCCGAGAAUCAUCAGUGGCACAUGGUGCAAAUUAAGAAGUGGUUUGAACUUGAAGCAGCCUGGCAUUCUAUUGGGUGAGCAAGUAGAAUGCUAUGCUUCUCUCACAUCUGGGUUUACUCGCAACAUUCUCAGAAUUCAGGAGACGAAGCUGAAGAAUAUUGCAGAUAUUUGGAAGCACAGGUUUCUACAACUUUGCAAUUGGCAUGUUACAGAAGCUUCUACUGCAACCUCUGCCUACAUCAAGGUAAUUUCUACACCCAAUAAGAAAAUAAAGCCAAAGAAAAACACAGUAUGUAUCUUGCUAACAUAAUAGUUGGGCCACUCGAGUAAAAAUGUAAGUUAGAGCCAAUUGAUGGUUUUUUACACCUUUUCCUGAGGAUGUGAAAGAAGCUUCAGUUGUCGAGUAGGGUACCUGCUAAGGCCAUUCUUUGCCCAACAAAAUGAUACUAAAAUUUCCCCAAUACUUGCUCCAUAUGGAAUGCCCUGUGGUUAUCUUUUUCGAGGGUCUUACGGGGAAGGGGGGCAUUCGGGUGGCAGCCAAACCGAUUGAGAUCACAAAGAGCGAUCUCUAGAUCACAGAGGGCGAUCCCCAUAGCUGCUAAUGGUAGUUGGCAUUUCACUCUUAGUUGUGGGGUUACCAUGUUUCAACUUUAAUGUCCUCCUUAAGUUCACCUUAUUGACUUCCAAUUUCAGAGAAAAAUACCUCAAACAGUGAGAUAUUAA